This 63-nucleotide transfer RNA is filed under the name Caulerpa ashmeadii. RNAcentral's name for it is "tRNA-Ser". The record is from RNAcentral. Lineage: Eukaryota; Viridiplantae; Chlorophyta; Ulvophyceae; Bryopsidales; Caulerpaceae.
UAUUUAAUAUUUGAAAAAUUUUAAAACUCCUUACAGAAUAAGGAGUUUCUAAGGUUUAAAUUG